UCCGUGUUAACCACGGCAGUCCCGCUAGAGUACCCGGCAUAACCCGCUGGCAACUAACGGUAGGGGUUUCGCUCGUUAAGGGACUUAACCCGACAUCUCACGACACGAGCUGACGACAGCCAUGCAGCACCUGUGCACGUUCCACUCUUUCGAGCGUCACUCCUGUUUCCAAGAGCUAAUCCGUGCAUGUCAAACCCAGGUAAGGUUUUGCGCGUUGCUUCGAAUUGAACCACAUGCUCCACCGCUUGUGUGAGCCCCCGUCAAUUCCUUUGAGUUUCGGCCUUGCGACUGUACUUCCCAGGCGGAGUACUUAAUACAUUAGCUCCAGCAGAGAAAGCAUGGCAGCUUCCUCUACCUAGUACUCAUCGUUUACGGCUUGGACUA
Molecule: unclassified non-coding RNA, 384 nt
Filed under: uncultured Planctomycetota bacterium
Lineage: Bacteria; Pseudomonadati; Planctomycetota
Description: uncultured planctomycete contains 16S-23S intergenic spacer region
Source: RNAcentral